GAUGAACGCUGGCGGCGUGCCUAAUACAUGCAAGUCGAGCGAACAGAUAAGGAGCUUGCUCCUUUGACGUUAGCGGCGGACGGGUGAGUAACACGUGGAUAACCUAUCUAUAAGACUGGGAUAACUUCGGGAAACCGGAGCUAAUACCGGAUAACAUAUUGAACCGCAUGGUUCAAUAGUGAAAGGCGGCUUUGCUGUCACUUAUAGAUGGAUCCGCGCCGUAUUAGCUAGUUGGUAAGGUAACGGCUUACCAAGGCAACGAUACGUAGCCGACCUGAGAGGGUGAUCGGCCACACUGGAACUGAGACACGGUCCAGACUCCUACGGGAGGCAGCAGUAGGGAAUCUUCCGCAAUGGGCGAAAGCCUGACGGAGCAACGCCGCGUGAGUGAUGAAGGUCUUCGGAUCGUAAAACUCUGUUAUCAGGGAAGAACAAAUGUGUAAGUAACUGUGCACAUCUUGACGGUACCUGAUCAGAAAGCCACGGCUAACUACGUG
Molecule: ribosomal RNA, 497 nt
Filed under: uncultured bacterium
Lineage: Bacteria
Description: partial 16S ribosomal RNA
Rfam family: Bacterial small subunit ribosomal RNA
Source: RNAcentral